ACGGAGCAAUACCGCGUGAGGGAGGAAGGCUCUUGGGUCGUAAACCUCUUUUAUCAGGGAAGAACACAAUGACGGUACCUGAUGAAUCAGCAUCGGCUAACUCUGUGCCAGCAGCCGCGGUAAUACAGAGGAUGCAAGCGUUAUCCGGAAUUAUUGGGCGUAAAGCGUCCGCAGGUGGUUUUGAAAGUUUGCUGUCAAAGCGCGAGGCUCAACUUCGUACCGGCGGUGAAAACUUCAAGACUAGAGUUUGGUAGGGGUCACGGGAAUUCCCAGUGUAGCGGUGAAAUGCGUAGAUAUUGGGAAGAACACCAGCGGCGAAAGCGCGUGACUGGGCCUGAACUGACACUCAUGGACGAAAGCUAGGGGAGCG
Molecule: ribosomal RNA, 370 nt
Filed under: uncultured cyanobacterium
Lineage: Bacteria; Bacillati; Cyanobacteriota
Description: bacterial SSU rRNA
Rfam family: Bacterial small subunit ribosomal RNA
Source: RNAcentral